UCUUAAAAGGGUGCCACCCUGUCA
Molecule: non-coding RNA, 24 nt
Filed under: Rattus norvegicus (Norway rat)
Lineage: Eukaryota; Metazoa; Chordata; Mammalia; Rodentia; Muridae
Source: RNAcentral